AUACGAAGGGGGCUAGCGUUGCUCGGAAUCACUGGGCGUAAAGCGCACGUAGGCGGCUUCUUAAGUCAGGGGUGAAAGCCUGGAGCUCAACUCCAGAACUGCCUUUGAUACUGAGGAGCUUGAGUCCGGGAGAGGUGAGUGGAACUGCGAGUGUAGAGGUGAAAUUCGUAGAUAUUCGCAAGAACACCAGUGGCGAAGGCGGCUCACUGGCCCGGUACUGACGCUGAGGUGCGAAAGCGUGGGGAGCAAACAG
This 253-nucleotide ribosomal RNA is filed under the name uncultured prokaryote. Its description in RNAcentral is "partial 16S ribosomal RNA". It matches the Rfam family "Bacterial small subunit ribosomal RNA", at positions 523 to 775 of the family's 1533-position model. The record is from RNAcentral.